RNAcentral lists this ribosomal RNA (111 nucleotides) under Pogona vitticeps (central bearded dragon). The record is from RNAcentral. Lineage: Eukaryota; Metazoa; Chordata; Lepidosauria; Squamata; Agamidae.
CCUUACCACCUUGAGCACACCUGAUUUAGUCUGAUUUUGGAAGCUAAGCAGCAUCAAGGUCUAGUUAGUACAUGGGUGGGAUAACACCAGGGAUACCAGACAUCACCAGGU